RNAcentral lists this ribosomal RNA (443 nucleotides) under uncultured Syntrophobacteraceae bacterium. RNAcentral describes it as "bacterial SSU rRNA". It matches the Rfam family "Bacterial small subunit ribosomal RNA", at positions 103 to 523 of the family's 1533-position model. Lineage: Bacteria; Pseudomonadati; Thermodesulfobacteriota; Syntrophobacteria; Syntrophobacterales; Syntrophobacteraceae. The record is from RNAcentral.
CGGGUGAGUAACACGUAGGUGACCUACCCUUGUAGUCUGGGAUAACCUACCGAAAGGUGGGCUAAUACCGGAUAUGACCACGGAAGUUACGGCUUCUGGGUGAAAGAUGGCCUCUGCUUGCAAGCCAUCGCUCGAGGAGGGGCCUGCGUGCCAUUAGCUAGUUGGCGGGGUAAUGGCCCACCAAGGCGAUGAUGGCUAGCUGGUCUGAGAGGAUGACCAGCCACACUGGGACUGAAACACGGCCCAGACUCCUACGGGAGGCAGCAGUGGGGGAUAUUGCGCAAUGGCGAAAGCCUGACGCAGCGACGCCGCGUGGGUGAUGAAGGCCUUCGGGUCGUAAAGCCCUGUCGAGGGGGAAGAAACAGCUGUGGUCGAAUAGGCCGCAGCCCUGACGGUACCCCUAGAGGAAGCACCGGCUAACUCCGUGCCAGCAGCCGCGGUAA